RNAcentral lists this transfer RNA (72 nucleotides) under Capra hircus (goat). It matches the Rfam family "tRNA". Rfam says of the family: Transfer RNA (tRNA) molecules are approximately 80 nucleotides in length. The record is from Rfam by way of RNAcentral. RNAcentral also lists the same sequence under 1 other name. Lineage: Eukaryota; Metazoa; Chordata; Mammalia; Artiodactyla; Bovidae.
UCCCCAGUGGCUCAGUUGGUAAAGAAUCUGCCUGCAAUGCAGAAGACCCAUGUUCAAUCCCUGGGUCGGGAA